Chelonia mydas (Green sea turtle) is the source of this 52-nucleotide non-coding RNA. The record is from Rfam. NCBI's taxonomy places the organism in Eukaryota, Metazoa, Chordata, Testudines, Cheloniidae.
UCACUGGAUUUUCUGAAUGAAAAAUCCACCCAUAUUUUCUGAAAAAUCUUAU